Molecule: ribosomal RNA, 254 nt
Filed under: uncultured bacterium
Lineage: Bacteria
Description: partial 16S ribosomal RNA
Rfam family: Bacterial small subunit ribosomal RNA
Source: RNAcentral
UACAGAGGUCUCAAGCGUUGUUCGGAUUCAUUGGGCGUAAAGGGCGCGUAGGCGGUUCGGCAAGUCGGGUGUGAAAACUCCAGGCUCAACCUGGAGACGCCACCCGAUACUGCUGUGACUCGAGUCCGGUAGGGGACCACGGAAUUCCUGGUGUAGCGGUGAAAUGCGCAGAUAUCAGGAGGAACACCGGUGGCGAAGGCGGUGGUCUGGGCCGGCACUGACGCUGAGGAGCGAAAGCGUGGGGAGCGAACAGG